RNA transcript from Hippoglossus stenolepis (Pacific halibut), 1480 nucleotides. It is a transcript of the gene named zinc finger, AN1-type domain 2A, with no coding region annotated. NCBI's taxonomy places the organism in Eukaryota, Metazoa, Chordata, Actinopteri, Pleuronectiformes, Pleuronectidae. The record is from RefSeq and is a predicted model, not a curated record. The transcript is spliced from 10 exons.
GGUUAAAAACACACACACACACACACAGAGACAGACACAGACACAGACACACACAGUGGUGCUCAGGGAUCUGCGGUUUAAACCACUGACGGAAAACAGGAGAUAAAGUCGCAGCUCGAUCGGAUCAGUCAACAAAACGUCUCUCGGUCCUCUGCUACAACACGAACCGGAUCCGGUUUGUGGAGAUUCGACCUCAGUCAGCCGGAGGCGGACGUGUUUCUGUGAUGGAGUUUCCAGAUUUAGGCGAACACUGCUCCGAGAAGACCUGCAAGCGUUUAGAUUUUCUUCCCAUGAGAUGUGACGCCUGUCAAGAGAUUUUCUGCAAGGAUCACAUAACCUAUGCGAAUCACAAAUGCACGUCGUCCUAUAAAAAGGACAUCCAGGUCCCAGUAUGUCCUUUGUGCAACAUCCCCAUCCCCAUCAAGAGAGGGGAGAUGCCUGACAUUAAAGUCGGUGAACACAUCGAUCGCGACUGCAAAUCGGAUCCUGCACAGAGAAAGAGAAAAAUUUUCACAAAUAAAUGUUCUAAAGGAGGCUGUAAGCAGAAGGAAAUGAUGCGCGUCACCUGUGACCAGUGCCGUUUUAAUUACUGUCUUAAACACCGGCAUCCACUAGACCAUGAUUGUAAGACUGACGGGCAACCUUUGUCCAAACCUGGAAAUGCUGCUGUAAUGAGAGCCCAAAGUGCUUCCUCCACCUUCACCUCUGCCUCCUGCUCCGGUUCAUCUGCUGCUUCAGGAAACAUUAGACCUGUUCCUAGCGGUGUGAUGGCAAAUACCAGAGGCCACAACAGUGGCACUACCCAGCGGAUCCCCACUUCUGUUUCCGCACAGAGCGUAAUACCGCCUUCAGCUUCAUUUCAGGCCGGCAUGACGGAGGAGCAGGCUUUACAAAGGGCUCUGGAGAUGUCUCUGGCUGAGUCGGGGCCGCCGGUGCAGCCGGCCCUCAGGUGAGUACACUUCAUCCAAACCUUUGAAUUACUCGUGUCCGUGCGGCGGAGUCUUCUCUUCAUUUAGCUCCAGCAUCAAACAGCUGUAUCAUAACAGAGAGGAAUGAUCGGGCCGAAGAGUGUGUGACCGCCCUCAGGAGCAGGAGGAUCUGGCUCUCGCUCAGGCUCUCGCUGCCAGUGAAGAAGAGUUCCGACGCCAGCAGCAGAGACAACAGGGAAGAGAGACCAAACAGUCCAACUGCAGCCUUUCCUAGACAUAGGCCACCAUUUAAACUUGGGGCUGUGCUAUUUUAUCUACUAACUAGACACUGCACAUCUGGGAUUUCAAUAUCCACGAUCAAUGAUUGUCACAUGAAGAAAUACUCUUGGAAGUUGCUCAGAUGUUACCGCCUUCAACAAUAUAAGCACAUACUUUCCCAGCAGGAUCUGUCAUUUUUACCAAUGAUUUGCUCUGUACCUAUUUUAUAUGCUGAUUGUGAUUAAUCCAUUAUAUUACCAUAUAUGAAUAUUGAAUAAAUUAUUUCAAAGAUG